UAGAGAGAGACAUGCGCGCAUAUCAAUAAGCGGAGGAAAAGAAACUAACAAGGAUUCCCUUAGUAACGGCGAGUGAAGCGGGAAGAGCUCAAAUUUGAAAUCUUCAAGGUUCUACCUUGACGAAUUGUAGUUUAUAGAAGUGUUUUCUGUUAGUGGAGUGGCAAAAGUUCUUUGGAAUAGGACAUCAUAGAGGGUGAGAAUCCCGUAUUUGGUCAUUCCUCCUAGCGUUGUGAUACACUUUCAACGAGUCGGAUUGUUUGGGAAUGCAGUCCAAAAUGGGUGGUAAAUUUCAUCUAAAGCUAAAUAUUGGCGAGAGACCGAUAGCGAACAAGUACCGUGAGGGAAAGAUGAAAAGAACUUUGAAAAGAGAGUUAAACAGUACGUGAAAUUGUCAAAAGGGAAGCGUUUGACACCAGUGUUGUUUUUCCGAAAAUCAAUUACGAAUGUUUUGUUUUUGAGGAGUUAUGACUUCAUCGGCUUGCUCCUUUCUUUACUGAAACUUUCUUAAUGCACUUUUCGGUUAACAAGUCAACAUCAAUUUCUUUUGUUGUAAAAGGGUAUGAGGAAGGUGGCUUUCUUUUCGGAGAAAGUGUUUAUAGCCUUGUGCCUCUGCAAUCGGAGAGAUUGAGGUCUGCAGCGUAGAUCCUUCGGGGUUAGAUACGUUUGUGCUAAGUUAUAGCUUUUUCAUAGACAACUUGUUGACUAUAGUUAAGUCAUGUAGCUUACUCGCUUUGCGCUAUUUUACCUACGCUUAGGAUGUUGAUAGUCACAGCGUGUAC
RNAcentral lists this ribosomal RNA (779 nucleotides) under uncultured Neocallimastigales. RNAcentral's name for it is "partial large subunit ribosomal RNA". It matches the Rfam family "Eukaryotic large subunit ribosomal RNA", at positions 23 to 644 of the family's 3401-position model. Lineage: Eukaryota; Fungi; Neocallimastigomycota; Neocallimastigomycetes; Neocallimastigales. The record is from RNAcentral.